Dipodomys ordii (Ord's kangaroo rat) is the source of this 107-nucleotide small nuclear RNA. The record is from Ensembl. NCBI's taxonomy places the organism in Eukaryota, Metazoa, Chordata, Mammalia, Rodentia, Heteromyidae.
GUGCUCACUUUGACAGCACAUAUACUAAAAUGGGAAUGCAACAGAGAACAUUAGCAUGGCCCCUGAGCAAGGAUGACAUGCAAAUUUGUGAAGCAUUCCAUAUAUUU